CUUGCUCCGGUGGAUUAGUGGCGAACGGGUGAGUAACACGUGAGCAAUCUGCCCUUGACUCUGGGAUAACUGCGGGAAACUGUAGCUAAUACCGGAUACUUUCCCUGCUGGGCAUCCAGUGGGGAAGAAAGAAUUUCGGUCAAGGAUGAGCUCGCGGCCUAUCAGCUAGUUGGUGAGGUAAUGGCUCACCAAGGCGACGACGGGUAGCCGGCCUGAGAGGGUGACCGGCCACACUGGAACUGAGACACGGUCCAGACUCCUACGGGAGGCAGCAGUGGGGAAUAUUGCACAAUGGGCGAAAGCCUGAUGCAGCAACGCCGCGUGAGGGACGAAGGCCUUCGGGUUGUAAACCUCUUUUAGCAGGGAAGAAGCGAAAGUGACGGUACCUGCAGAAAAAGCACCGGCUAACUACGUGCCAGCAGCCGCGGUAAUACGUAGGGUGCAAGCGUUGUCCGGAAUUAUUGGGCGUAAAGAGCUCGUAGGCGGUUCGUCACGUCUGCUGUGAAAUUUCGAGGCUCAACCUCGAACUUGCAGUGGGUACGGGCAGGCUAGAGUGCGGUAGGGGAGAUGGGAAUUCCUGGUGUAGCGGUGGAAUGCGCAGAUAUCAGGAGGAACACCAAUGGCGAAGGCACAUCUCUGGGCCGUAACUGACGCUGAGGAGCGAAAGCGUGGGGAGCGAACAGGAUUAGAUACCCUGGUA
RNAcentral lists this ribosomal RNA (700 nucleotides) under uncultured Actinomycetes bacterium. RNAcentral describes it as "bacterial SSU rRNA". It matches the Rfam family "Bacterial small subunit ribosomal RNA", at positions 79 to 792 of the family's 1533-position model. Lineage: Bacteria; Bacillati; Actinomycetota; Actinomycetes. The record is from RNAcentral.